GAUAUCAGGGGCAAAAGGUCAUAAAUCCGAUGCAAGCUUGCUUGCAGGAAGAUUUAUGACCUUGGAUCUGCCAAAAACAUGAGUAAGAAGCCAUUUUUUGAAGAAAAAUGAGCAAAUUACGAAUGUUUUUAGAAUUGUGGGAGUGCAAAACACGUAGCAAUUCGGU
RNAcentral lists this small RNA (166 nucleotides) under uncultured Enterocloster sp. RNAcentral describes it as "Clostridiales-1 RNA". It matches the Rfam family "Clostridiales-1 RNA". Lineage: Bacteria; Bacillati; Bacillota; Clostridia; Lachnospirales; Lachnospiraceae. The record is from RNAcentral.